AUUCCUGCUAAAAUAUGUUUCACAGUUAUCCUGUAAUUGGUGGUUUUUGGCGCCCCCUACUGGUUACCUAUAAAUUGGAUGAGAAACCAAAAAUUCCACACAGUUGGUUCAGCGCUCUGUUGUGAGCCAUAGGUUGACCGGUAGAGAGGCUCACUGCGCCAUAUGUGUUUUAUCAACCACUGAUUACAGAUUGCAAUAAAUCAUCUAAAAACCAA
Molecule: long non-coding RNA, 215 nt
Organism: Poecilia latipinna (sailfin molly)
Lineage: Eukaryota; Metazoa; Chordata; Actinopteri; Cyprinodontiformes; Poeciliidae
Exons: 2
Source: RefSeq, a predicted model, not a curated record